UAUACACAGUCCCAUAAGUUCCCUGAGCAAUAACAUGCCUUAUUUCCAGUUUACUCAAAUCAAUCUCCCACUCCUCCCUUCUCGUCUGCACUUCCCUGUCCCUCGACCAAGCACGACUGAGGUGCUUAUCUAGUUGGAUAUCCCAGCUCUUGAAAUCAAUUUUAUCUGCUCUAAAAUACGUUUCUCUAUUGCUAAUACUACCCACAUCCUUCACCUUUGAACUCAAGCUCUUCUCUCCGGCGUUUGAAGUAACAUCUACUUCAUGGGUAUUGAAUUCCUCGGUUUUUAAACCUUGUUCGACUUCCUUGCGAUUGUAUGAUUCCAUUUUUAAAUUUCUUUACUGUAUAUGAACUCUGAUAACUAACUGAAGAAGAAGAAUUAAGAGUUAACAGAAAAUUUACUGAUAAACAAUCUGCUUCUUGAACCUAUAAAACAAAGUAGGCAAAAAGAAAACCUGAUUUACCUAUCAAAGUUCUAAUUAAAAAC
Molecule: unclassified non-coding RNA, 486 nt
Filed under: Hevea brasiliensis (rubber tree)
Lineage: Eukaryota; Viridiplantae; Streptophyta; Magnoliopsida; Malpighiales; Euphorbiaceae
Source: RNAcentral